Molecule: ribosomal RNA, 457 nt
Filed under: uncultured bacterium
Lineage: Bacteria
Description: SSU rRNA
Rfam family: Bacterial small subunit ribosomal RNA
Source: RNAcentral
AGAAUCAACGCUGGCGGCGUGCCUAACACAUGCAAGUCGAACGAGAAAGUGGAGCAAUCCAUGAGUAAAGUGGCGCACGGGUGAGUAACACGUGACUAACCUACCCUUGAGUGGGGGAUAACCUAGAGAAAUCUGGGCUAAUACCGCAUAAUACCUUCGGGUCAAAGGAGCAAUUCGCUUAAGGAGGGGGUCGCGGCCGAUUAGUUAGUUGGCGGGGUAAUGGCCCACCAAGACUGUGAUCGGUAUCCGGCCUGAGAGGGCGCACGGACACACUGGAACUGAAACACGGUCCAGACUCCUACGGGAGGCAGCAGUGGGAAUUUGCGCAAUGGGGGAAACCCUGACGCAGCAACGCCGCGUGGAGGAUGAAGCCCCUUGGGGCGUAAACUCCUUUCGAUCGGGAAGAUAAUGACGGUACCGAGAGAAGAAGCCCGGCUAACUUCGCGCCAGCAGCCGC